RNAcentral lists this long non-coding RNA (5119 nucleotides) under Homo sapiens (human). Its description in RNAcentral is "HSALNT0046041". The record is from RNAcentral. Lineage: Eukaryota; Metazoa; Chordata; Mammalia; Primates; Hominidae.
UGGGAGUUUGAGACCAGCCUGGCCAACAUGGAGAAACCCCGUCUGUACUAAAAAUACAAAAAACAAACAAACAAACAAAAAAAUUUAGCCGGGCAUGGUGGUGCGUGCCUGUAAUUCCAGUUACUCAGGAGGCUGAAGCAGGAGAAUUGCUUGAACCCGGGAGGCGGAAGUUGCAGUGAGCUGAGAUUGCACCAUUGCACUCCAGCCUUGGCGGCAAGAGCAAAACUCCAUCUCAAAAAAAAAAGAAAAAGAGAAAAAAGAUAUAGAAGGAACAAAUGACUACUUGGUUACCAACUAUUUUAGUUGUAUUUUGUAUAGUACUAUAUUAUAAAUCUAUGUUCACAUCUAACACAGGCAUGAGUGGAAGGCAGGCAUACAACAUCCUCUUAAACACUUCUAUUAAUGGAGUAUUCAGCACAUCACAAAGUAGCUUUAUGGAUAGCUUGGCUUCUGAAUUUUUUUAAACUAUUAAGUAACAUUAAUAAUUUCCUUUAUUCUAUGUGCACAGAACACCGGCAAUAAAGAUUUCAUUCAUUUACUCAAAAAUAUUUACUGGUUGCCUUUUUGGGGACAGGUACUUUAUGACUUUAUGACAUAGUUACAAUGGUAAAGUAACAAAAUUUCAUUUCAUACCAUCAAGUGUUUAAAAUUAAAAUAAGUAUUUUAGAUGUAGAUAAAUAUGUUUUUCUAAAAAUCACCAAACAGGAUAUAAGUAAUUUAUUUGAUCAUGGCAUUUUAUCACAUACUAUAACAAGAUCUAUUUAUCACAUACUAUAACAAGAUCUAUUCCCAGUAUCUAGAAAGCAAGCCAACGGGCCGGGCGCAGUGGCUCACCUGGAAAAUGUUUAAAAUUUAUUAAGUGAAAAGUAACUCAUGCUGCAAUGAACGUACUAUGUAAAAAUGUAUGUAUGUGGAACAGGGAAAAAUAUAAACAGUCACAGAAAUGUGUUUAGGUUGGUAGCAUUCUUUUUCCUCUUAAAAAUUCCUUUUUUUGGCCGGGCGCUGUGGCUCACACCUGUAAUCCCAGCACUUUGGGAAGCCGCGGUGGACAGAUCACAAGGUCAGGAGAUCAAGACCAUCCUGGCUAACAUGGUGAAACCCCGUCUCUACUAAAAAUACAAAAAAUUAGCUGGGCAUGGAGGCACUCGCCUGUAGUCGCAGCUACUCGGGAGGCUGAGGCAGGAGAAUCGCUUGAACUGGGGAGAUGGAGGUUGUAGUGAGCCCAGAUCAUGCCACUGCACUCAAGCCUGGGCUGAGACCUCCAGAGUCUGGCUGAGACCUAUGGAGUCUCACUCUGUCACCUAGGCUGGAGUACAGUGGUGCGAUCUCGGCACACUGCAACCUCCACCUCCCAGACAUUCUCCUGCCUCAGCCUCUCAACUAGCUGGGAUUACAUUCGCCCGCCUCCACACCCACUAAUUUUUGUAUUUUUAGUAGAGAUGCGGUUUCCCCAUGUUGGCCAGGCUGUUCUUGAACUCCUGACCUCAAGUUAUACGCCCACUUUGGACUCCCAAAGUGCUGGGAUUACAGGUGUGAGCCACGGCACCAGCCAAAAAUUUCUUUAAAUAUUAGUGGUAUAUUAUUCUCUCAAUAAGUUUUUUUUUUUUUUUUUUUUGAGACAGUCUUGUUUUAUUGCCUAAGCUGGAGUGCAGUGGCACAAUCUCAACUCACUGCAACCUCCACCUCCCAGGUUUAUUUUUUUUCUCAUGCCUCAGCCUCCCAAGAAGCUGGGAUUACAGGCAUGUGCCCCAAAGGCCAGUUAAGUUUUCUUUUUCUUUUUUUCUUUUUUCUUGGUUGAGACGGAUUUUCGCUCGUCACCCACACUGGAGUGCAAUGGCGCGAUCUCGGCUCACUGCAACCUCCGACUCUUGGGUUCAAGCGAUUCUCCUGCCUCAGCCUCCCGAGUAGCUGGGAUUAGAGGCACCUGUCACCACGCCCGCUACUUUUGGUAUUUUUAGUAGAGAUGGAGUUUCACCACGUUGGCCAGGCUGAUCUCAAACUCCUGGCCUCAAGUGAUUCACCUGCCUUGGCCUCCCAAAGUGCUGGAAUUACAGGCCCGGCCUAUUUUUGCAAUAAUUAUGAAUAGCACACCAUUUAAACCUGUUGAUUGAGCCCUCCUUAAAUAACUAAAUACACUACUGGCCAACAUGGUGAAAACCUGUCUCCACUAAAAACACAAAAAAAUGGCCGGGCACAGUGGCUCAUGCCUGUAAUCCCAGCACUUCAGGAGGCCAAGGGGUGUGAAUCACCUGAGGUUAGGAGUUCAAGACCAGCCUGGCCAACAUGGUGAAACCCUGUCUCUACUAAAAAAAAAUACAAAAAUUAGCUGAGUGUAGUGGCACAUACCCGUAGUCUCAGCUACUCAGGAGGCUGAGGCAGGAGAAUUGCUUGAACCUGGGAGGCAGGGGUUGCAGUGAGCCAAGAUCGUGCCACCACACUCCAGCCUGGGUGACACAGCGAGACUCCAUCUCAAAAUAAAUAAAUAAAUAAAAAGAAAGGGACCGAGCGCGGUGGCUCAUGCUUGUAAUCCCAGCACUCUGGGAGGCUGAGUUGGGCAGAUCACAAGGUCAAGAGUUCAGGACCAGCCUGACCAACACGGUAAAACCCCAUCUCUACUAAAAAUACAAAAAUGAGCUGGGUGUGAUGGCACGCGCCUGUAACCCCAGUUACUCAAAAGGCUGAGGCAAGAGAAUCGCUUGAACCUGGGAGGCAGAGGUUGCAGUGAGCCGAGAUCACGCCACUGCAUUCCAGCCUGGUGACAGUGAGACUCUGUCACACACACACAAAAAAGAUAAAGAAUGACAAAAAUCUGUGCCUACAUUCAGAGUGACAAGAAUACUAAUGUUCUGCUUGUAGAAAAGACUAUUGGUUCAGAAUAUGUUAAAUGCAAAUAAUAUUUUGUAUAAUAUAUAUAAAUUACAUAUGCAUAAAAAGAGUAUCUAUAUUAGAAUCUUUUGAGACAGGGUCUUGCUCUGUCAACCAUGAGGGAGUGCAGUGGCACUACCACAGCUCACUGUAGCCUUGACUUCCUGAGCUCAAGCCAUCCUCUCGCCUCAGCCUCCUGAAUAGUUGGGACUGCAGGUGGUGCCACCAAGGCUGGCUAAGUUUUUAUAUUUUUUUAUAGAAACAAGCUUUUGCCACGUUGCCCAGGCUGGUCUCAAACUUCUAAAAGCUCAAGCAAUCUGGCCGCCUUGAACUCCCAAAGUGCUUGAGUUAUAGGCAUGAGUCACUGUGCCCGGCCUACAUUAGAAUCUUAACAGUGGGGCUGGGCAUGGUGCCCCAUGCCUGUAAUCCCAGCACUUUGGGAGGUCAAGGUGGGCAGACUACUUGAGGUUGAGGAGUUCGAGGCCAGCCUGGCCAACAUGGUGAAACCCCAUCUGUACUAAAAACACAAAAAUUAGCCAGGUGUGGUGGCACAUGUUUGCAAUCCCAGCUACUUGGGAGGCUGAGGCGGGAGGAUCACUUGAACCUGGGAAGCAGAGGUUGCAGUGAGCCGAGAUGGUGCCAUGGCACUCCAGCCUGGGCAAUAGACAGCGGGACUCAGUCUCAAAACAAAAAAAAAAAAAAAAAAAAAAGAAUCUUAACAGUGGUUAACUUCAAAUAGUGAAACUAUGACUGUUAACUGAGUUUGACAUUUUUGUGUUUUCCUAGAUUUUUCUACAAUAAACAUUAUUAUUUCAUAAUAAAGCAGUAAAGACUUUUUAUACAAACUAUUUUAAGAUAAACAAAUUUUGACAUAGGGGUUAUAAGUUAGGUAGAAUCUAUUUAUAUAAAAAAUGGAACUGUACUUUUGUGGGCCAAAUAAGCACUAUGUAAGUUUUUUUAAUUUUCCCAAACACAUGCACAGAAUUAAUAUUGCCUUAAAUUUUGUUAGCACAAGUUUGAGAGAGCUCUUUAGUUCAUAAAAAAAUGUUUUAUGGACCAGGUGCCGUGGCUCACACCUGCAAUCUCAACACUUUGGGAGGCCCAGGUGGGAGGAUCGCUUGAGCCUAGGAGUUUGAGACAAGACUGGGCGACGCAGGGAGACCCUGUCUCAAAAAAACAAAACCAAAAACAAGCAAACAAAAAAACAGCUGGGCAUGGUGGCAUGCAUAUGUAGUCCCAGCUAUUCUAGAGGCUGAGGUGAGAUCGCUGGAGCCCAGGAGGUGGAGGCUACAGUAAGCUGUGAUCAUGCCAAUGCACUCCAGCUUGGUCAACAAAGCAAGACUGUGCCUCAAAAAAAAAAAAGAAAAGAAAAGAAAGAAAGAAAAGAAAAAGAAAAAAAGUUAUGUACGUAUGGUUUUUUUUUUUUUUUGGAUAGAGUUUCACUCUUCUUGCCCAGGCUGGAGUGCAAUGGUGCAAUCUUGGCUCACCACAACCUUCCCCUACUGGGUUCAAGCGAUUCUCCUGUUUCAGCCUCCCCAGUAGCUGGGAUUAAAGGCAUGUGCCACCACGCCCGGCUAAUUUUGUAUUUUUAGUAGAGAUGAAGUUUCUCCAUGUUGGUCAGGCUGGUCUUGAACUCCUGACUUCAGGUGAUCUGCCCGCCUCAGCCUCCCAAAGUGCUGGGAUUACAGGUGUGAGCCACCUCGCCUGGCCGUUUUUUUUUUUUUUUUUUUUUUCUGAGACGGAGUUUUGCUCUUAUUGCCCAGGCUGGAGUGCAAUGGCACGAUCUCGGCUCAUCGCAACCUCUGCCUCACGGGUUCAAGCAAUUUUCCUGCCUCAGCGUCUCAAGUAGCUAGGAUUACAGGGAUGCUCCAUCAUGCCCGGCUAAUUUUGUAUUUUUGGUAGAGACAGGGUUUCUCCAUGUUGGUCAGGCUGGUCUCAAACUCCCAACCUCAGGUGAUUUACCCGCCUUGGCCUCCCAAAGAGCUGGGAUUACAGGUGUGAGCCACUGUGCCCGGCCAUGCUUAUGUUUUUUAACAAUACACUUCUGAACUAUCAAAAAGAAUAUAAAUCAAAAUCACUGAAGUAGUUUUUAAAAACUCCAAAAGCUACAAAACUUACUUACUUCAAUAUCAAUUAAAAACCCAUUUGAUAGUUCAAUAACUUGAGUCCUGCUAGAAUCAUUCUAUAAGCCAUCAGUGACAGUGAAGUGGCCAAAAUUUGAGUCACUUGAUAAGUACAAAGAACACAGAUUUUU